AUAAUGAGGUGUCUGUCCCUAUGUUGAGAGAAUGAAUACGACCCCGGGAGCGCGGCUUACAUCACUCACCUUGGGGAAGAGAGGUCGGAGAAGCGGACCUACGGGAAGAGCAGUGGGAGAGGCGGACCUGCGGGAAGAGCAGUGGGAGAGACGGGAGAGACGGACCUGUCAGCUGCUCGGAAUCGGCCCACGCUGAAUUCGAAAGGAGAGUCAAGAAAAAACAAGCUCUGACAUCACAGGAAACAGGCAAUUUGAUUGGUUGAAGAAGAACCUAGCUGUUUGGUGAAAAUCUGGAUCCUGCUCCUGUGAAAACACCUGCAGGUGCUCCGACUGCCGAUGUCCCAGCAGCAAAGCUGGACGCUGCCGGAAAAGUUGCUGCUCUUGCUGUCCUGCAGGAUGCACGAACUGCACCAAUGGCUGUGUGUGUAAUGGGAUCUCGUCUGACAAAUGUAGCUGCUUUUCCUGAACAACAGGCACUUCAGGCACAAUACAUGAAAUAUUGUCCAUAUGUACUGUAUUCCACAAGCUGCAUGUCCUCAGUGUCUAUAUCCUAAUGAAUUUUGUGUUUACGUAAAAUAAUGAAAAUGUCUGCAUAUUGUUGAAAUUCUGAUUUUUGUAUCAAGAAUAAUUUUUUUUCGGUAUUUGAAGUCUAGUCAUAUGUGCUAUUGUGUUUCUUGAAGAUGUGAUGGUGCUAAUAACAGCACAAGAUAUAGGAAAUGAGUUGAGUCUAACUUUACCUUUAAGACACAUGGCAUAACAUAAGUCACAUUAGCAUCUGUCACAGUCAGGUCAAUGAGGUAAAACAAUGUGAUGAUGGACCAGUGUCGAAAAUGGUGGAGUGAAUGAAUCAAUGGUGGUUCUGCUGACCCUCUCAUCCAUGAGUGUGACAACAUGCUACUGUCGAAUAUACCGAAAAAUAUGGUUGUAAUCCAGUCACCUCUGUCUGUUAACUGUGCAUCCAAAGGUUAAUUUUCAAAUAUUCUUUGGAAGUAUUGGCAUAAAUGCAGACUCCUUCAGAGAUUUGUGAACUUGUUUCCCCAGGUCUUGCUGUUUCUGCACCCCCUCUAAAGUUGUAUCAUCUAUUUCACAUUGUAUCUCCACAUUCUUUGUUUAAAACCUAUCAAUCACAUUUGUGUGCCUUAAAUUUCAUCUGUCAGGUGUCUGCUCAUUUUACCACUCUGCUUCUGUGAGCCUCCUCAUUGUUGACUACUACAUCCCCUCUAUACUGCUUAACGUUCCUAACUUGUGGAAGACCAAGUCUUUAAUUCUUGUUAUCCAAUUUUCUCGGAUUCAGUCUUAACUUCUCUGUUACGGCUACAUUGAGAACAUCCUUCUCUACAGAGAAGAAAGUGGCAAAAAUACAUCUUGUACCUUAACAAUGUCCUCUGCCAUCAUACAAAGGUUGGCUUUUCAGUUCCUGAUCAGACCCAUAUUCUGAUUUGACUACUCUUUCACCAUUGAUGUGUUUAAAAGAGAAAAUCCACAUUCUGAGUGAAGGUGCAGAAAAUUUGGAUUUAUUUUAAAGUGCUAGCCAUGAACAGCAGCUCGGCUGCCAAAGCAUACAUAGACAAUCAUAGACAAUGAAAGCUAAAAACUUGUACAAAGGGCUCAGCUGUAAAUUUGCAAUUAGGAAAUGGGCGGGGACAUGGGAUGACUCGAUCAAGGAAUGGGGAAGGCCAUUUCACACCGUCUGAUAGCGUCAAACCACAUCCAGUCAGCCCCUGUGAACCUUUUUUAUAGAUCAAACAUACAUUCUUUGCAAUCUUCAAAAGGACAAUGCCCUGUCUCUGCACUGUAAUCACUGUACAAGGACACAAUUAUCAGCCCACUGGGAGGUCCUUGUGCUGUGGCCUUUGUCUAACUAAUACCAUUAAGUUGUAACUGAUAGUAAAAAAUAUAUAAACUCUGCUCAUUUGAACCUCAGUGGAGAAGUGCCUGGACUGCCCAGUGUUUGUUUCCUGCAUGUU
Molecule: long non-coding RNA, 1967 nt
Organism: Carcharodon carcharias (great white shark)
Lineage: Eukaryota; Metazoa; Chordata; Chondrichthyes; Lamniformes; Lamnidae
Exons: 3
Source: RefSeq, a predicted model, not a curated record